This 427-nucleotide ribosomal RNA is filed under the name uncultured bacterium. RNAcentral describes it as "bacterial SSU rRNA". It matches the Rfam family "Bacterial small subunit ribosomal RNA", at positions 355 to 774 of the family's 1533-position model. The record is from RNAcentral.
UGGGGAAUCUUGGGCAAUGGGCGCAAGCCUGACCCAGCGACGCCGCGUGUGGGAAGAAGGCCUUCGGGUCGUAAACCACUGUCAGGAGGGAAGAAAAGCAGAUUCCGAACAGGGGUCUGUAUUGACGGUACCUCCAGAGGAAGCACCGGCCAACUCCGUGCCAGCAGCCGCGGUAAUACGGAGGGUGCAAGCGUUAUUCGGAAUCACUGGGCGUAAAGCGCGCGUAGGCGGCUGCGCAAGUCAGAUGUGAAAGCCCUCGGCUAAACCGGGGAAUUGCAUCUGAAACUGCGUAGCUAGAGUUCGGGAGAGGGCGGCGGAACUCCCGGUGUAGGGGUGAAAUCCGUAGAUAUCGGGAGGAACACCAGAGGCGAAGGCGGCCGCCUGGACCGAAACUGACGCUGAGGCGCGAAAGCGUGGGUAGCAAACA